UACAGAGGUCUCAAGCGUUGUUCGGAUUCAUUGGGCGUAAAGGGUGCGCAGGCGGCGCGGUAAGUCGGGUGUGAAAUCUCGGAGCUUAACUCCGAAACUGCAUUCGAUACUGCCGUGCUUGAGGACUGGAGAGGAGACUGGAAUUUACGGUGUAGCGGUGAAAUGCGUAGAUAUCGUAAGGAAGACCAGUGGCGAAGGCGGGUCUCUGGCUCGACCCUGACGCUGAGGCGCGAAAGCGUGGGGAGCGAACGGG
RNAcentral lists this ribosomal RNA (253 nucleotides) under uncultured bacterium. RNAcentral's name for it is "partial 16S ribosomal RNA". It matches the Rfam family "Bacterial small subunit ribosomal RNA", at positions 524 to 776 of the family's 1533-position model. The record is from RNAcentral.